Molecule: long non-coding RNA, 1617 nt
Filed under: Selaginella moellendorffii
Lineage: Eukaryota; Viridiplantae; Streptophyta; Lycopodiopsida; Selaginellales; Selaginellaceae
Description: long non-coding RNA (SMOE_LNC002000)
Source: RNAcentral
UUUUUUUUUUUAUGUCUGUCUAUAAUGGUAGUGAUGUUGGCAGCCGUUGGAUCGUCAUCAAAGAGGCGUCACCACCACCGCAUGCUAACGCAGGGAACAAAGGUAUCCCAUCCGCAUCUGGAUGUUGGCAUGACAUCUGACAUCGAGGAUCUUACAGAAGGCGCCUCCUCCGAUGCCAUAAGAUCCAUUGGCCAUAAGGUUUAAAAUUUAGAUUAAUGAAAUAACUCUUUAAAGGGAUCAUUGAUUGAACCAUCAUUUUAUGAUUUUUUAUUGCUGCACAGUCUCUAUCUUCGACUGAGGAAUUCUAUAAUAUCAUCACACAUCCAUAUUCCACUUUUCUGGAUUUUUAAAUUGUUUAUAAUCAAUAUUUCAAACUCCUCUUUUUGGUUUCCUUAAGCAAACUUAUGGAUAUAUCUAAAAUAUUCUUGGAUAUUCUAGAAUAUUUUACCAUCUAACAGUUGUUAUUCAUUUGGAUUAAUUUCAUUUUUAUAAUUUAUAAACAUGUUUAUAAUCUAUAAACUUUAUUAAUCACUUUCUAGUAUAUUUUAGUUUAUUCUACCAUCUAAUGGUUGAUAUUCAAUAAAAUUAAUCUUGUGUUUAUAAAUUAUAAACAUGUAAAGUUCCACUAUAAAGCAAACCAUGGAACGUGCAGCAAAUUAUCAGAUUAUACACCGAAAAAUAACCAGUUUUAAAACUUUAUUUAAAUAUUUGCCUCUAGUCGUCAGUUUUAAUGCCCCUCAGAUCUGACGUGUUUGUGACGUGCCAGACGGGCUGGCGUCAGGAACCCUAGAACAACAAAGUCUUGAAAGGCUGUUCACAACAGAGGAAGACAAAGGCUUUUGACAACAUUGUUCUUGAGUUGGCACUAUGCUUCUCAUUUUAUCUUAUCAUUAUUAUUAUAUAUAAAUUAUGGUUCUUUAUUUAGUAUAUUUUAAUAACAAUAUUAUCAAUGUUUCUCUUAUAUGAUAUUAUUUUUUUCCUUCUCAUCAAUAUUUUGUACAUAUUUUAUGGCACUCUGAGAACACUCUGUCAUUCUCAACUCGGAUUGGUCUUCGAAGAUUUUAGCUGAAUUUUAGUCCCAUCCUACGAUCGCAAAAUCAGGCGUAAUCAGCACGGUUGAGAGAAGGAAAUACAUGAAAUCUGUAUAUAAUUUACCAGCAUGUCGCUGUUGGACAAGUUAUCAAAGAGCGAACCCUCUACGACGGGCCAUCCUCCGAGAUUUACAGCAUGAACCGGUGCCUGGCCUGUGACGAGUAUGACUGUAUCUCAGAUAAAUCCCUCUGUGGCAUCGGCGGCAUCUUCUCAAACACUUCAGCCACCUCGCAACAAUUCCCAUGUUGGCCAUAUAGCACGGCAGGAGAUUAGUUUUCUCCAUGGAAUCUUGGGCUUUGUCACACUGGUGAUAAUCUCCGUAAGCUCUUAGCAAAAGAGUACUAGACACUACAGUUGUUAAUACUCUCAAACGCUUGGGACAUAUACACACUGAUCAAUGGUUGCUUUGUUGGACAUAUCCCUGGGUCAUCAAAUUACAAGAUGCCAGGAAAUACUGCUCUGCAGCAUCUUGUCAAAGACACUGGCUUCAUCUUGUCAAAGAUGAUCACCAGAGCAGUAUUUCCU